This is a long non-coding RNA of Brassica oleracea var. oleracea, 1631 nucleotides long. RefSeq lists it as uncharacterized. The transcript has 6 exons. The record is from RefSeq and is a predicted model, not a curated record. NCBI's taxonomy places the organism in Eukaryota, Viridiplantae, Streptophyta, Magnoliopsida, Brassicales, Brassicaceae.
AGCAUGUUUAGUGCCUUAUCUGCUCGUCAUGAGUUUAUGAUUCGUUGUCCUUAGCCAUUCAAUGGAAGCUACGAGUAACUUGGUUUCUUCAUCUCCUUACGUUUACGACGAAGACACAUCUCAAAAGCGGCUUCUCUUCUCCUUCCUCUGUACAUGAACAAAUUAAACAGCAACUCCUGUUAUUAUUAACUCACGUCAUUUAGCUUCUCUAUCUCGACAUUUCCCUGCGUCUGUUCUCUCACAAGAGCCACGAGAAGAGUCUACGCCUCUGUCACUUGCAUUAAGAGAAGACAGAACGUCUCAGCUGACUCUGGAGAGGAGGCAGUUUGAUGAAGAUGAGAAAUUUGAACAGCAGUUGCUUCAGUCUGCUGGUUUAUGGAAUUUGUUGACAUCUCCUUUAACAGCUGAAAAGCAGUUGCCAACAGUUAUAUCUCCCUUAGAAGACGCGGAGCCGCCUUGUGAUGCAUGUGGUUGCACUAGCUCGCAAGGCUUUAUCAGCUUCAAAGCAAGCUACUGCAUUGUUAGCUCAAGACUCUGAAGCACUUCCAUAUAGGCUGCUUCUUUAAGCCUUGUUUGUCUAUCUCAUCUUCAGUUUUGCUAUAAACAUUUCUGUUUUAUGGAUGUUGGUUAUAGCUUUUCCAUGUCCUUACCAGAAGAGCGAAUCCAAGAGCCUACUGGAGAGACGAGCAAAGAACAGAAGCGCUCCAAAACCAAACAGCUUGGACAGUGAGGUUUAUGUUCCUCAGAAAACUAAUGCCAAGAAGAAGAUGAAACAAGGGUUUGAUACUGAUGAUGCGCUCCAGCUCUUCUUGUGGGGACCUGAGACAAAACAACUUCUAACUGCUAAUGAGGAAGCUGAACUGAUAACACAUAUACAGCAUUUGAUAAAGCUGGAGAAGGUAAAGCUAAACUAGAAUCUCAAAACGGCUGUGAACCAACGUUAGGAGAAUGGGCUGAAGCUAUGGGACUAAGUGGUCCUCUCUUGAAAUCUGAAAUCCACCGUGGCAGAACCAGCCGGGAAAGGCUGAUCACAUCAAACUUACGUCUGGUAGUCCAUAUAGCUAAACAGUAUCAGAACUGUGGACUCAACUUUCAGGACUUAUUGCUGGUUAGCUUCAAACAAAACACAUUGGUCUUGUCCUCUAAAUAGAGUGAUCUAACUUGUGAGCCAUAUCUGAUGAUGCUUCCUUAUGAAGGAAGCAUGGGGCUAAUGAAGAGUGUAGAGAAGUUCAAACCACAAUCCGGAUGCAGAUUCGCAACUUACGCCUACUGGUGGAUUCGACAAUCCAUAAGAAAGUCUAUUUUUCAAAACUCCAGGACAAUCCGUUUGCCAAUUGCACGGGUACCCACUUGGGUGCCGUCUCGCGUACCGGGUUCGCCAGGGGGAAGGGUACGGCUGGGAAACGUCCCCAACACAUGUGCCGUGAACCCGGGACGGCAUCACUAACCGGGGACGGGUUUGGUCUGAGACCGGAGACGUCUCGGGAAUUUUCAAGACAAAAGAGACGUAUCUAUUUGAUUUUUGGUGUUACGAAGUGUAAACGUUAAACCAUUCCAUAUUUGUUUUAAAUUGUUUCUAUUAAUUCUGAAAGUAUUAAAAGAUGUAAUAAAAGAUGUUGUUUAUCAAUAAU